RNAcentral lists this ribosomal RNA (253 nucleotides) under uncultured bacterium. RNAcentral describes it as "partial 16S ribosomal RNA". It matches the Rfam family "Bacterial small subunit ribosomal RNA", at positions 524 to 776 of the family's 1533-position model. The record is from RNAcentral.
UACGUAGGGCGCAAGCGUUGUCCGGAAUUAUUGGGCGUAAAGAGCUCGUAGGCGGCUUGUCACGUCGGGUGUGAAAGCCCGGGGCUUAACCCCGGGUCUGCAUUCGAUACGGGCUAGCUAGAGUGUGGUAGGGGAGAUCGGAAUUCCUGGUGUAGCGGUGAAAUGCGCAGAUAUCAGGAAGAACACCAAUGGCGAAAGCAGCUCUCUGGGACGGUACUGACGCUGAGACGCGAAAGCGUGGGGAGCGAACAGG